RNAcentral lists this ribosomal RNA (916 nucleotides) under Halymenia floresii. RNAcentral's name for it is "partial large subunit ribosomal RNA". It matches the Rfam family "Eukaryotic large subunit ribosomal RNA", at positions 99 to 1110 of the family's 3401-position model. Lineage: Eukaryota; Rhodophyta; Florideophyceae; Halymeniales; Halymeniaceae. The record is from RNAcentral.
CGGGAAGAGCCCAAAAUGAAAAGCCAGCUUGCUGGCGUUGUAGUUGAGCGUCUUUGGGGUGUCAGUUCGGGAAAGUGGCAUGGAAAUGUCCGCCGAGGAGGGUGAUAGCCCCGUCCAUCCCGUUCAGGACACUUCGCACUAAGGCGUUUCAGACGAGUCGGGUAGCUUGGGAAUGCUGCUCUAAUUGGUGGUAAAUCUCAUCAAAGGCUAAAUAACGGUGGGAGACCGAUAGCGAACAAGUACCGUGAGGGAAAGAUGAAAAGCACUUUGAAAAGAGGGUAAAAAGAACCUGAAACCGUUACGGGGGAAGCGGAUUGCGUUGGCCUGGUGGCUACCUGUGUGUUCAGCCUUUAUGGUGCAUUGAUGCAGGUGGUUAUUCGUCGUGGCUUUUUGGCGGCUGAUAUUGAGUUGCUGGAGAGUGAGGGCUCCCCUUUUUGGGUGAGGACGACGGAGUGACGACGCGAUACGACCCGUCUUGAAACACGGACCAAGGAGUCUAGCGCGGGUGCGAGUCAAAGGGUAGUAAACCCGUGGGCGAAGUGAAAGCGAGUUUAAAAACUAGCAGUUUGGGGCGGCAUAGAAUCGUUGAUUCUAGGUCCGACCUUGAGCAGUUGCGCUGGGACCCGAAAGAUGGUGAACUAUGCCGGAGUAGGGCGAAGCCAGAAGAAAUUCUGGUGGAGGCUCGUAGCGGUGCUGACGUGCAAAUCGCUCGUCGAACUUGGGUAUAGGGGCGAAAGACUAAUCGAACCAUCUAGUAGCUGGUUUCCUCCGAAGUUUCUCUCAGGAUAGCAGGCCGACAUGCGUUGUUUUGUGCGGUAAAGCGAAUGAUUAGCGCAUUCGGGGGCGUUUAGCCUUCGGGCGAUUCUCAAACUUUAAAUGCGCAAGGGUACCGGUGCUUUGUUGAGCGGUACCGGUA